CACUUUCAGUCUACAAGCAACCUAUUCACUUUGAGCUUUCACUAUAGAAUAGCAUCGAAUUCAGAAAAGUAAUUACUUUCACGGCUUCUUACUUUGUUUAGGUUGUUCAACUAUCUCUGGACAUGUUCACUUUUACACGUAUUAUGGUUUGUCAAGGUUUUCAAUUGGUACCUAUUUUUCUAUUCAACAUUAACUACCUUCUCUCUUUAACACCCCUUCACACUUUCAAGUUCUCUUCACUCAAAAAUUCAGCUUUCCAUAAAGAACAACAACCAAUACACCAAACUCAUUACUAUCAAGAAAAGCUCUCUCACAACAAACAAAUACCGACAUGAAUGAUAGAUGAGAUUCCAAUUCUGCCAUUUCACAUCCAUGAG
Cryptomeria japonica (Japanese cedar) is the source of this 377-nucleotide long non-coding RNA. RefSeq lists it as uncharacterized. NCBI's taxonomy places the organism in Eukaryota, Viridiplantae, Streptophyta, Pinopsida, Cupressales, Cupressaceae. The record is from RefSeq and is a predicted model, not a curated record. The transcript has 3 exons.